RNAcentral lists this long non-coding RNA (8699 nucleotides) under Sus scrofa (pig). RNAcentral's name for it is "lncRNA (ENSSSCG00015000945.1)". The record is from RNAcentral. Lineage: Eukaryota; Metazoa; Chordata; Mammalia; Artiodactyla; Suidae.
GAUGGGAAAACAGAAGCUAAAAGAAACUAGAGCUCAGAACAUGAGUUUAAGUGGGCAGAGAGAGGUUUGACACAUUGAAUAGUAUGUGAGUUUCCACUCUGGAUAUUGUGCAAAUGCCAGUCACAGCCAACUCAUUUCAAAGGACAGUGAUGUACAUAGUAGUUUGUCUGUCACCCAUUUACUGUUUGACAAUCUAUUGCAUUGCAAAGAGAAAAAAAAGAAAAAGAGAAAAAAAGGAAAGAAAGAAAAAGAAAAGAGAGAGAAAGAAAAAUAAAUUGAUUUAUUUCUUCAAAGACAGAUUUCAGAUGGAACUGGUAUUGAUUUGAAGUAUGAGUCUGUGUGGAUUCAUCAUUUCUAUCUAAUUCACAGAUUCCAGCAUACUCAGACCCUAGGUUGUGCCCUGACAUGGCUCUGUCUUAGAGCUGGACAGAGUUAACAUGAGAUAAUCCUCCUAUGUGUUGCCUGGGGAGAUUUAUAGCACCUUUUUAGGUUUGAUAAAGUCACACUCUUUUCUCUAAGGUAAAGUCUUCUUGUCUUUACCGUGAACUCACAAUGAAUUCUCAACCCAAACACAUAACCAUUUAAAAGAUGCUGCUAGAGAUCAAAUGAGCCACACUGCACAUAAAAUGGAAAGCCCUCACCUCUGUGGAGGUCUCUAAGCUUCUCAGACCCUGUUAAAUAUCCAUUCCUUGCAGUUGGCCAGAUAGCAGAAGUGAAGGUUCAUGAGCACAUCAACUAGAACAUCAAAACAAUAGCUCACUGGCUGUGCUAAGACUAGUGAGCUUUCACUAUAGAAUCUGCAAGCUGGGCUACUCAUGUGAUUUCCCUCCAUCUUGUAAUAGAUUAGCUUACAAUAGAACAUCAAUUUUCACAUGCCUGAAACCCCAGACUUUGGUGACAAAAGACUGUAAGAGGGGCUCGGUUUGAUCUGGCUGUCAAGACUUGAGGGAGCUGUGGCAUCAAUGGCUAUGAGUCAGACCCAGGUUCUGACUCCUGUAAAAUAAGUAUCCUAACAGUGUCACUGAAGGCAGGUGGUCUUGUUUCAGAUAAAAUGAUAAGCAUACAAUACCUGUCUUCUAAUAGAUCUGGGUUGUAUGUAGGAAGGUAUAGCUCUGAGUAACCUUUAAAUGUUAUGAUUUCUACAGAUGCCUAGGAAUUUAAAGCAAAAAGAUUGUAUUUCCUCUUGAUUUUGUUGAUUUCCAACUUAGACCAGCUUUAAGGGAUAAUGAGGUAACAAAACAUGCCAGUGAGUUCUCCUUUUUAAAUUUGCCUGCUAAAUAAGCAUUAUGUUCUUUAUGACUUAGAUUAUACUUAAGUGGGCUAAGAGUGGAGUCAGGGUAGUGAUAAUGGGGCUGGACAGAAUUGUACUACAUUGCCUUUAUGAUGAAUAUUAAAGAGAAUGAAAAUAUUUAGCCUUGGAGAAGGCUCGGGUGGAUAUCUAUUUCAAAGUAGUUAAACUUAUGCCAAAUGAGAAAGUAUCUUCUUAAGAUGGAAGAACUAUAAUCCACAGGAGACAAUUUUCAGGAAACAAAUUUUGUUUAAGAGUAGGGAAGAAUAUGCUCUUAAGUCAAAAUAAGUAUAACAUGAUACUUGCUAUCAGAGAAGGUAGUGAAUUUGGUUUCAGUUGAAGUGAUCCAGACUACAUAACUGUCAGUCAGAAAUAUUCCAAACUGUCACUGUUUCCUAAUAAUGACAGGUGUCAUAGAUUACAUAAAUACAAAACAAAUUCAGUACAUGUAAGUAAGCGGACAUCCUGUUUCUUUUUUUGUUGUUUGUUUUCUUUUUUUAUUACUCAAUAGAUUUUAUUACAUUUACAGUUAUACAACAAUCAUCAUUUCUGUAAUAACUGGUGAUGUUGAACAUCUUUUCAUGUGUUUUCUGGCUAUCUGUACAUCUUCUUUGUAAAAUUGUCUGUUUAGAUCUUCUGCCCAAUUUUUGAUAGCAUUGUUUGUUUUUUUGGUAUUGAGCUGCAGGGGGUGUUUAUAAAUAUUGGAGAUUAAUCCCUUGUCAGUCACUUCAUUUGCAAAGAUUUUCUCCCAUUCCGUGGGUUGUCUUUUCAUUUUGUUUAGGGUUUCCUUUGCUGUGCAAAAACUUUUAAGUUUAAUUAAGUCCCAUUUUUGUAUUUUUGUUUUUAUUGUCAUAACUCUAGGAGGUGGAUCUAAGAAGAUAUUGCUGUGGUUUACGUCGGGGAGUGUUUGGCCUAUGUUUUCCCCUAAGAGUUUUAUAGUAUCUGGUCUUAUAUUUAGGUCUGUAAUCCAUUUUGAGUUUACUUUUGUGUAUGGUGUUAGGAAGUGUUCUAAUUUCAUUCUUUUACAUGUGGCUGUCCAAUUUGCCCAGCACAACUUAUUGAAGGGGCUGUCUUUUUUCCAUUGUAUAUUCUUGCCUCCUUUGUUAUAGAUUGUAGGUACGUGGGUUUAAUUCUGGGCUCUCUAUCCUAUUCCACUGAUCUAUAUUUCUGUUUUUUGUGCCAGUACCAUAGAGUUUUGAUGACUGUCACUUUGUGGCAUAGUCUGAAGUCAGGGACCCUGAUUCCUCCAGCUACAUUUUUCUUUCUCAGGAUGGAUUUGGCUAUUCUGGGUCUUUUGUGCUUCCAAACAAACUUUAAGAUAUUUUGUUCUAGUUCUGCGAAAAAAUGCCCUUGGCAUUGAAUCUGUAGAUUGCCUUGGGUAGUAUAGUCAUUUUGAUAAUAUUACUCUUCCAACCCAAGAGCAUGGUAUGUCUUCCCAUCUGUUUGCAUCAUCUUUGAUUUCUUUCAUCAGUGUCUUAUAGUUUUUAGAAUACAGGUCUUUUGUCUCUUUAGGUAGGUUUAUUCCUAAGUAUUCUUUUUUGAUGCGAUGGUACAUGGUAUUAUUUCCCUAAUUUCUCUUUCUGAUCUUUUGUUGUUAGUAUUUAGAAAUGCCAUCAAUUUCUGUGUAUUAAUUUUGUAUCCUGAGACUUUGCCAAAUUCAUUGAUGUGCUUUAACAGUUUUCUGGUAGCAACUUUAAGAUUUUCUAGGUAUAGUAUCAUGUCAUCUGAAAAUAGUGAUAGUUUUGCUUCUUCCUUUCCAAUUUGGAUUCCUUUUAUUUUUUUUCUUCUCUGAUUGCCAUGGCUAGGACUUCCAAAACUAUGUUGAAUAGUUGUGGCAAGAGCGGAUAUCUUUGUCUUGCUCCUGAUCUCAGCGGGAAUUCUUUCAGCUUUUCACCAUUGAGAAUGAUGUUAGCUCUGUGUUUGUCAUAUAUGGCCUUUAUUAUGUUGAGGUAGAUUCCCACUAUGCCCACUUUCUGAAGGGUUUUUUAUCAGAAAUGGGUGUUGGAUUUUUUUAAAGACUUUUUCUGCAUCUAUUGAGAGGGUCAUAUGGUUUUUAUUCUUCAGUUUGUUAAUGUGGUAUAUUACACUGAUUGAUUUGCAGAUAUUAAAGAAUCCUUGCAUCCCUGGGAUAAAUCCCACUUGAUCAUGAUGUACAAUCCUCUUGGUGUAUUGUUGGAUUCAGUUUGGUAGUAUUUUGUUGAGGAUUUUUGCAUCUAUGUUCAUCAGUAAAAUUGGCCUUUAAUUUUAUGUGUGUGUGUGCUAUCUUUGUCUGGUUUUGGUAUCAGGGUGACAGCAGCUUCAUAGAAUGAGUUUGGGAAUGUCCCUUCCCCUGGGAUCUUUUGGAAUAGUUUCAGAAGGAGAGGUGUUAGCUCUUCUCUAAAUGUUUGAUAGGCAACCAUCAUGUUUCAAACCCCAAAAUAAGAUGAUGUGAAGGAAGCUUGCAUUUAAUACUGCAUGUGUUGCAGAACUUGCUGCUGGUGAAUCGAAACUAGAGAAUUAAUGUUGAGCUAAAUGUACAUGCAGGGAGAAAGAACAAGCUAAAGAAAAUCCUCUUGGCUGUUUUCCACAGUUGGUGGUGACUGAUGGAAAAAUCCCUGCCAGUCAGUGGGGAGUGGCUGCCAGCUGGCAUAGCAAAGGAUCUGAGAGCACAGUGGUCCAAUAGGAAAAGGAUUCCUAAAGUUUCUGCUUUCUGGGAGUGUGUGUGUGUGUGUGUGUGUGUGUGUGUGUGUGUAAGACAGUGAAAGUAACUUCUAAAAAAGGAGAGGCAAAGGGAACAGACAAAGAAGGUAAUUCAAAACUAAGAAAGCAGAGGAUCAAUAGUAAAAAUGGAGGCCAAAAAAGAUAAGAAAAUUAAUCGGAGAAAUGAAUAGGAUACACAUAGGAAAAGAGUGAUAAGGGAGACAAAUCUACUCUGGCUCAAGUGGCAGAAGGAAAAGUUCAGUCUGUGAAUGGGGUCAGCAAAGCCAUCUCUUCCAGCUUGUUUGAGAACCAGCUAUGCUGGGACCCAAGUGCAAGUGUUUACUCUGCAAGUUUACGCUAAGUUUAUUUGUCAGUCCUGAUCUUGUGUGAAUUAGGAAAUAAAAUGCUUGACCUUGCCCCUCCCCUUCCUCUUGUGGAUGAAAGCCAAGGCUCAGGAACCCUCUCCAUCAACAGCCCCUCAUGGGGCCUGUCCUAUCCAACACCUCCACUAGGGGUCCCACUAGUCUUAUCCCCACAAACCAUGCUUUCCUGCAGAUAGCACAGCCUCCUGCAUGCUCUUCUCGGCUUGUGCUCCACAGAUGAAUAUUACCAGAGAAAUGUCUCAUUCUUACUCAAGAGGCACUUGCGUUUUUUUUUUAAUUGAAAUUUUGUUGACAUACAUUAUCUGUACAUCAGGUGUACUACAUAAUAAUUUGACAUUAUGCAGGUAUUUUUAUCUUCCAAAUGCUACUGUGCUAAUAUUCUGUGCUAAUGAGACCAGGUUACACACAACUUCAGGUUGUUCUUUCCAAACCAGGCAAUGUGCGGUUGGACAGAUUUUCCAUAUAAACAUGCCCUGUCUUUUGUUAUCCAAGCCAAGGUUGCUGCUCUAACCAUGAACAUCAAAUCUAGUCAAAAUGAAGUUCCAUAGAAUAUGGGAGAGAGAAGUCUUGGUCUUUGUCACAAUAGGGUCUAAUACAUUGCCAUCUCUCUUCCCAAAUACACUUCAUCUGGUGUGGGUAAUAUAAUCUACCCAAGCAUUAGAAUAUUCAUCUGAGUGGGGUAUUUUUAUAACAACAGAGAAUUAUGAACAGGCCAUUAAAGGUCUGAGUUUGCAGGUCUCCUCUGUCAUGUACAUCCUGGUGCAUAACUUAAUUUUAAAAUGGGAGAAAAAGAAAAAUUAUUGCUAGCAUUAUGAUGUUGGAUAAGGUUUAUAAUAGCAAUAAUCCCCCAUGAAAACAGUUGUUAUCAUAGUUAAUGCCCAUUUUGUCACUGUGUUAACCUUCCCUGGCUCUGCCUCGGGCCAUUAAAUGGCCAACCAUUUGUUAAGCACCCUAGAGCAAGCAAUUUCAGGAGGAAUGUUGCUGAGCUCAUUUGCUAAGUAAAACACCUGAGAAGACAGUGAUAAACUCUGCAUAGGUUCACAUAUACACAUGCAUCCUUAUACAUACUUAACCCAGGUCCUUUUUAAAAGAAUAUUCUGCGUUACAAUUCCUUGGUAUCAUGCUUACUAAGACAGGCUAUGCCAAAUUUGGGAUCUCAGAUUGUUGCCCUAACUAUUCCCUGCCAUUCUUUCCCAGGUCCAGCUGGUAUCAAUAUUUAAAGUGUUUUACAAUUUUAACUCUGGCCCUAAAGAAUAGACCAGCCCUUUAAAAUGUUCAAAGGGCAUAAAUAAAAAACAAAAUUAAAAUAAUGUUGCUUGAAAGCAAGAGAAAAACAGGAAAAUGAAGGGAUAAGAUAUGUCUAACAUCUGGGAAUAUCUAUCCCUCAAAUCAACACAGCUUUGCUAAUUUAUUCAGAUAAUUAGAUGUAUUCAAUGCUUUAUACAUAUUAACUCUUCUAACUGUUACACAUUCUUUACAAAGUCAAUAUUAUUAAUAGUCCCAACUGAUGGGUGAAGAAACAGAAUUUGAACCCGGGUUGUUUGACUUCAGAUCCAAGCUUUUCGCUACCAUGAUAUAACAUACCAAUCUCCGUUUCAAAACAAACAGGCAAGAUUUCGAAAAAUACUGGCUCCUCUCAUUUGCAUUAUGCGUCAGUUCUGUACCAAACAAGAUGAUGGUUACUGGUUACUAAUAUUUGUUAAGAUCAACUAUUUAUUAUGGUCCAGGGAGGAUCAUUCAAAUAAAUCAUGUCCAAGUAUGAGCUGGGUUUCAAAGUCACAGCAAAACAGAACUCCAUGGCCUACAUACUGAUCAAGGGUAUUGUAGUAGAUUUUAUUAAAAUCUGUUUAUUCUUUAUUAGAUGACUUUCUGAUAGGUUACCAUGGAACCUCAAUUGGCCCAGAAUUAUAAAUUUUUAAUUUUGUACAGGGUUUACCUAAUUAGUUAAAGGUAGUUGCAUCUCUCUUCAACUACUUUCCUUCAGGAAAAAAGCUAUUUCAACCCUAUCUCACUUAAGUGAAGAAUACAGGUACGUUAUGUAAGUUUUGACAUAAUUAGCCACUUCAUUAAUGAAAUAAUUGAACUUCCUUAAUCAAAGGUAGAACUUCUUACUUAAAGCUUAGCUUGAAGAAUCAAAUGGGCAUAACAGUAGGAGGUACAAAGAUUGGUUUGGAGACAGGAAAAAAAAUUAAUGAGGGAGAGAUCUUUUCUCAUUAAACUACUAAUUCUGUAAGGCUAUAUUCUAUUUUUAAUUUUUACUUCCCAUCAUCAUUUUCACCACAGUUAAUAUUGUUAACUGCUAAUAUCAGAUGAGUACCAUACAUAAUGCAUGCAAGACAAUCUCAAAGGACUAGCAGAAGAAUUGUAGACUGUUUGCCGGGAUUAUGGUUAGUCCUUGAUUUCUUGUAUUGACAGAGAGAAGCCUGAAAGCAAAUUCUAUGAAUUCAGGGAUAAGCCUAGACUCUCCAUUAGGCAUUGUCCUCAACUGUUUUAGCACCCUAAUAUUUUCAGACUAGGGGGGCUCAAUUAGGAUAGAAAGCAAUAGAAGUACUGUACUUGAUUUUUCCCCCAAACACCUAAAAUUUACACAAGAACUGGUUUCUGGCUAUGAGCAAAUCUCAAGCACACUCUUAGGCAAGCACUUAAAAUGUACUAAUAGUCUGGUGGUAGAAGUAGGAAGGUGGUUCAUUAGCAUAUGCUUAUCAAUUAUCUGCAUAAAUAGCUCUUUUUAUCACUUCGUUGUCCAGGCUUUUUCUCACUUGGUAGCUGGCAGAAAGCCAUUGCAAUCUAGGUGUUGCUCAGAUUACAGAGUUUCCCACCUCUGCAUUCCUUAGUGUUCUGUAGUACGGAAGGGUUAAAGAGCAAAAAAACCACAAACAGAUGUCAAGUGUAAUGAUAAGUAAAACUGGUGCACUAGAGUUCUGCAAGUUUAGUAGCGUAACCAUACACCAGUAACCCAUUAGACAAGUAUGAUGAUGUAAUUUAUUCAUCCAUGCUAACUUUUAGUGACUAUGUCAAGAUGCGUUGUAAGAUGUCUACAAAUAAUGUGAUCUAAAAGCUUGCAAACAAAUAUUUCAUAGGUUAGAACAGAUCCCUUUAAUAAUGUCAUGAUCACUUUAUGUUAUAAUUUCUUUUCUUUGAGUGGGAAAGUAGUAGAAAGCCUUGAUGUGCAAAAUUGUGUCAAAUUCUUGGUUUAUUCUUCAAAAUGCAUCCUAUGCUUUGGUGCCUUGCCAUCUGUCUUGUCCAGCCAGACUAAACAAUGUCAACAUUUGCCUGAAGAAGGAAGGACCCAAGGAGAGGAGCUCGGAUGUGUUGGGAGGGCCUGAUAGAAGCCUGACACCAUAGACAACCUAGCCCAGAGUCAGGCCUUUCCAUGGAUGUGCAGAGAGGAUUUCUCUUCUUUGUCCCUUCAUUGUUUCUCUUGAAUAUUUACUCUAGGAUGUUACUUUGGGGUGAAAUAUCUUCAUCGUGACAGUGCAAAUAAAAAGUGGCAAAGUCUGAAUUAAAACUAAACUCUGGGCCUAUGUGUGCACAUAAAAGAGAUGAAUAUUACCUAGGGUGAUCACAUCCUGAAAGGAAGGUGGCCAGUUUCCCCAGGGAGGGAUUAAUCCUCCUUAGAUUCUCUGGGGCUUGUAGCCUGUGAGAAAGACAGAGUCUGAGAGCAAGUACAGCACCAGUGGAUCCUCUAGGCACCAGCCUAAUGCAGGCAGGCCCAGAGUCUUGGGAGAAUGGGUUUGUGUAGCAUCUCCACUUCUCACAGGAAGGAAGGCUACCAGGGGCUGUGGUCUUCCUCUCUGUGCUGGGAGUCAGCAGAGGGGCUUUUGGCUUGAGCAUAUGGGCACCUUGCUCUGGUCCUCUCGUUCUUUUGGUGACCGCCCCACUGCAUGCAACCUUUCCACACAACCUUCUUGUAACACUCUGGGUUUUAGAGUUUUUGAAAUUAUACUUUAAUAAAUAGAAGCCUAGAGUAGUCCCUGCUAGUGCUUGCCCCUUUGUCCUUACCCUUCUUAUUAAAUUCUCAGUUGCUUAGAGUAAAAGAAGUAGCAUCGGUGUGGAAAACUAGAAACCUUGAACGGCAGUCCCAAUGGGCUCCAGACUUCGGUUUCCCCAGCAAUAGUAGCCAAGCUGCACGAACAGCACCUCUCUUUCCUUGCAGCUCAUUUAAACACACAUACAUGUAUAUUAUGUGCAUAUAUGUACACAUAUGUAUGUAUACACAUACAUGUGACUUGUGUGAUAAUACUUAAUACCUUGAUAGACUUAUAAUUUUAUUUUUACUGGUGCCCUAAAUUACAAUAAGACACUACAAUUUGUACCCAAGUCUCUCUAACUCUAAAGACAAAGCUCUU